This 334-nucleotide unclassified non-coding RNA is filed under the name soil metagenome. RNAcentral's name for it is "partial contains 5.8S ribosomal RNA, internal transcribed spacer 2, and large subunit ribosomal RNA". The stretch from base 1 to 120 matches the Rfam family "5.8S ribosomal RNA", at positions 35 to 154 of the family's 154-position model. The record is from RNAcentral.
GAUGAAGAACGUAGCGAAAUGCGAUAAGUAAUGUGAAUUGCAGAAUUCAGUGAAUCAUCGAAUCUUUGAACGCACAUUGCGCCAGCCAGUAUUCUGGCGGGCAUGCCUGUUCGAGCGUCAUUUCAACCAUCAAGCCCCAGGCUUGUGUUGGAGCCCUGCGGCUGCCGCAGCCUCCCAAAACCAGUGGCGGGCUCGCUAUCACACCGAGUGCAGUAGUUUACUCUUCGCUCAGGGCGUGUGGCGGGUGCUAGCCGUGAAACCCCCAACUUCUCAAGGUUGACCUCGGAUCAGGUAGGAAUACCCGCUGAACUUAAGCAUAUCAAUAAGCGGAGGA